RNAcentral lists this ribosomal RNA (404 nucleotides) under uncultured Paracoccaceae bacterium. Its description in RNAcentral is "bacterial SSU rRNA". It matches the Rfam family "Bacterial small subunit ribosomal RNA", at positions 956 to 1382 of the family's 1533-position model. Lineage: Bacteria; Pseudomonadati; Pseudomonadota; Alphaproteobacteria; Rhodobacterales; Paracoccaceae. The record is from RNAcentral.
GCAACGCGCAGAACCUUACCAACCCUUGACAUGGGUAUCGCGGCUCCAGAGAUGGAGCUUUCAGUUCGGCUGGAUACCACACAGGUGCUGCAUGGCUGUCGUCAGCUCGUGUCGUGAGAUGUUCGGUUAAGUCCGGCAACGAGCGCAACCCACAUCUUAGUUGCCAGCAUUCAGUUGGGCACUCUAGGAAAAACUGCCGAUGAUAAGUCGGAGGAAGGUGUGGAUGACGUCAAGUCCUCAUGGCCUUACGGGUUGGGCUACACACGUGCUACAAUGGCAGUGACAAUGGGUUAAUCCCAAAAAGCUGUCUCAGUUCGGAUUGGGGUCUGCAACUCGACCCCAUGAAGUCGGAAUCGCUAGUAAUCGCGUAACAGCAUGACGCGGUGAAUACGUUCCCGGGCCUU